RNAcentral lists this ribosomal RNA (253 nucleotides) under uncultured bacterium. RNAcentral's name for it is "partial 16S ribosomal RNA". It matches the Rfam family "Bacterial small subunit ribosomal RNA", at positions 524 to 776 of the family's 1533-position model. The record is from RNAcentral.
UACGUAGGGCGCGAGCGUUGUCCGGAUUUAUUGGGCGUAAAGAGCUCGUAGGCGGCUUGUUGCGUCGGCUGUGAAAACCCAUGGCUCAACCGUGGGCUUGCAGCCGAUACGGGCAGGCUAGAGUUCGGUAGGGGAGACUGGAAUUCCUGGUGUAGCGGUGAAAUGCGCAGAUAUCAGGAGGAACACCGGUGGCGAAGGCGGGUCUCUGGGCCGAUACUGACGCUGAGGAGCGAAAGCGUGGGGAGCGAACAGG